GCGAGUAUAACUCCUAAAACCAUUGUGAACGAACAGCUCAGUUGCUUCGGCGGGCGGCUCUAGAGGCUUUGCCUGUAAGUAUCCCGCCGGAGGAAUGCAAACUCUUAUUAUUAUUUCUCUGAGUAUAUUAUUUAAUAAGUUA
Molecule: unclassified non-coding RNA, 142 nt
Filed under: uncultured Eurotiomycetes
Lineage: Eukaryota; Fungi; Ascomycota; Eurotiomycetes
Description: sequence contains ITS1
Source: RNAcentral